CUGGAAAGUUUUAUCAAGUGCCUUUUGAAGAGGUACAGCAAGGAAGACCUAUGGAAAGGAUGAGAUUUAAACGGGGAAACGUGCAUAUGUGUGGAAAAACCAAGCACCGAUUCAUCCAGUGCUGCCCGGCACGUGCCAGUGAUGGGAGAAACACCUGAUUAUGAGCUGCUCGUGGGGGAGUGAAGCUCUUCAUCAGCUUCCCUAGUCCGUGAAAACGUCAUCAGUGAGGAAAGCCGGACGGGGAUCAGUGUUGACCGUGGAGACGUGGAACGUUUCCAGGUACAUUAAGUGGGAGGAAACCCACAUUCUGGAAAAGGCGACCCGAGGAGUUUCUGGGGGCCCUCUAUCCCUCCCCCCGACCCCAAGAAGAGAGGAAAGAGGACGCUCAGUCCCCCUGGCCGUGACCAUGACGCCCGAGUUCCUGGGCCUCCCAUAAACCUGCUCCAGCCGAGGAGUCUGCCAAGGACGCCCGCGUGAUGCCAGCCCUGAACGCGCUCCAGAGUCACGUAAGCGAGCCCUGCUGCACUUACGGAGCUGGCCGUCCAGCGCCUGCCAGCCUCUCCAGGACGGAACCUUGAGCGAGAUGCCGUGGGGAGGAUGCAGUGAUGUGAUGCACACGAGGCACUCGGCACGCACUGCCCCGUUACUGACACUUCGUAGAUAUCACCGGAGCAGCUGAGCUGCCGGACCCUCCCCAGCGAGGACAGCUGCGGGACAGACACGUCGGCAGGGUAGGUGUGCUGAGCAGGUUCCUACCUACCUGACCUCCAAAGCUUCUUUCCAGCUGUGAGGUUGAAUGGAGGUGUCCUUCCAGUUCUAAAAGGGCAGCCCUCAGGCAGCUGUUAUCCCACUGAGCAACUGGAGGGUCACAGAGGCCCGGGGAGCCAAGUGGCC
Lagenorhynchus albirostris (white-beaked dolphin) is the source of this 894-nucleotide long non-coding RNA. RefSeq lists it as uncharacterized. The record is from RefSeq and is a predicted model, not a curated record. The transcript is spliced from 3 exons. Lineage: Eukaryota; Metazoa; Chordata; Mammalia; Artiodactyla; Delphinidae.